UACCAGUUGUUCCGCCAGGAGCAUCGCUGGGUAGCUAUGUGUGGAAGGGAUAAACGCUGAAAGCAUCUAAGCGUGAAGCCCCCCUCGAGAUGAGAUUUCCCAUCACUUUAUGUGAGUAAGACCCCUGAGAGACGAUCAGGUUGAUAGGUUCGGAGUGGAAGUACAGCAAUGUAUGGAGCAGACGAAUACUAAUAGGUCGAGGACUUAACCUU
Molecule: non-coding RNA, 212 nt
Organism: Brochothrix thermosphacta
Lineage: Bacteria; Bacillati; Bacillota; Bacilli; Caryophanales; Listeriaceae
Source: Rfam